AUGAGCUCUUGGGUUCUGCAGCUGUGCCUCUCACUGGCUCUCUUCAUCUGUGGUGGAGCAUCCCAGCCUGUGCCUGUCCAGCCUCCGCGGGUCUCAUUUGCCGAGGGCACCACCGCUGUGCUGCCAUGCCGCCUGGAGCGUGGGCAGAUUCAAGACUACCACGUCUUCUGGUUCCGGCAACAGCCAGGUAACCGGCCGGCCCAUGUGCUGAAGCAUCACAUCCAAGGUGAAAUAGAACGAACCAGUGGAUUCGAUGAGAGAUUUGUGCCUGUCAGGAAUGCUGGUGCCAAUGCCUACGUGCUGCAGAUCCAGAAGGCACGCACAGAGGACAGUGCCACCUACUGGUGCAUGGCAGAGAUAAAUUCAUUCAACACUGCAGUCUCGGGGGCUGGGACGCAGCUCAGCAUCACUGGAGGGAAAUCAGUCAAGGAACCCGCCAGGGUCACCCUCUUGUCCGACGCGGCUGCCCAGAUAUCGGACUCCCCCGAUCUCCAUGCCUUGUGUCUGGCCGAGCGAUUCUACCCGGGCUUUGUGGAGAUAAAGUGGAGCAUGGCUGGGAACACCAUCACGGAGGGUGUGAUACCUGGACAGGUGAUCUUGAAUGACAACGGCUCCUACAGCACCAACAGCAUCCUGACAAUCCCCCGCAACCUGCUUGGCAAUGAUGCCUCUCUCAAGUGUUUGGUGCACCAUUAUUCUUCCGGCUCCAAGGCAGAGAGGAGUCUCGAGCUGUGCGAGGCCAACUCGUGA
Non-coding RNA from Gekko japonicus, 750 nucleotides. The record is from the annotation of a RefSeq genome assembly. NCBI's taxonomy places the organism in Eukaryota, Metazoa, Chordata, Lepidosauria, Squamata, Gekkonidae.